CACAAGAUAUUUUCCUGGUGCUAUAAUCAUAGCACCGGGAACUGUGCUCUCCCCUCGUGAGCUUGGAGCGUUGCUGCACUUAUCACAGCAACGCUCCAAAUCUCGCAAGAGUGAACUCUAGCAGUUCCUGAGGCUGCUAGAGUUCACUCUCACCACUGGGACCACUACAGCUUGCCAAACGGACCACCAGGGAUUGCAGGAAAUGUACCCCCUCCUAGACAAGUAGGUAAGGUAAGCAGGGAGGGG
Molecule: non-coding RNA, 246 nt
Organism: Pelobates cultripes (western spadefoot toad)
Lineage: Eukaryota; Metazoa; Chordata; Amphibia; Anura; Pelobatidae
Source: the annotation of a GenBank genome assembly